This 1680-nucleotide long non-coding RNA is filed under the name Sus scrofa (pig). RNAcentral's name for it is "lncRNA (ENSSSCG00000048711.2)". The record is from RNAcentral. Lineage: Eukaryota; Metazoa; Chordata; Mammalia; Artiodactyla; Suidae.
GCUCAGCAGACGACGUAGUUCUUGUGCUCUUCCCGCCUCGCCUUUCUUUUCUUGGUUUCAAUCCUGGUGUUGCAAGCCAAUUCCCGGGUCUUGUUAGGCGGGAAACACAGACUGCAUUACCCAUGUUUGAAACUGGAUUUGCGCGUUUGGGAAGCAAGAAUGGGGUUACUCUGCUGGAAAAGCUUGACAUUGCAAAUGAGGGAUUUUUACCCUACGGUUCCACAAGUUCCCACUAAGUAUCUGGUACGCGGAAGAGAGGGACAAGGAAGCACAGAGGCUCAGAACAGUUCGUUGUUCACCUCGUCUUUCUACCACAUAAUUCUGCCUCUAGAAAUACAGGAGAAAGAGUAGCCACGCAAAGCUUCUAGGAACUCCUGGGAGAAGCAUUCAUAAACUCUUAUUGCUGCCAGUUCAUCUUGGGGCCUUUCGGUGUGAAGAAAUGGAUCCUUAUCAAAUACUUUUGUGAAAGAACAUUUACAUCCUGCUUUAUUCCAGAAGAAAAGAUUUAAGUCACUUUGGUUACACAGGGAAAACCUGGAAGAGGGGAGAUACAGAAGAACCCAUACCUGCAUGGCCUGAAGACAGGCUAAAAGACUGAUGGGAGCUUGCGACCCUACAGAGUUGGAACCGCUCUGCGCUCACAGGCCUGGGAGCUUAGUGCCCAGUGGCCAGGGACCCCCCCUAGGAUUCCUUUGUGGAUCAAAGGCAAAGAAAGAAGGGCUUCUGAAGGCCUGGCACAGCUACAAGGAUUCUCCUGACAGUAUGGCACAUCUGUCUAGCACGUCAUGUUUCGGGGAAGCCUUUCCCAACGGUGUCAUGAGGCUGGCAGGGUGGGCAUUCUGUCCAUCAGCGAGGAGCAGAUGGAGAGCCAAAGAGGAUGAGUGAAUUGCCGACGCGCACGCCUGGUUCAGGAUCAGCAUCCAGGUCUCCUCAUUAAGUCCAGUGAGCUUUCAGCUCUGUCAUGCUGCCUCUUCUUCCCCAGAGGGCUUGGGAAACAUAAGCAACUGCCUACAGGAAAUAUGCUUCACCUUCCUCACAGACACGGCGUUCCAGAACCAGACUCCAUGGAAACAGAACACAGAGGGUGUGUACAUUCAUGUCUUCUAGACCCACUCCAGUUCUCAUCAGAAGCUGAUGAGCCACCCCACAGUUCACGGCGGGUCAGACCUAAUCCGUAUCCUCUUCAAAAUAGGCCAGAAAAAUGGAAUCACUGGAUAUCAGAAGAGAAAGGGAACCACAGAGUCUUGCUAGUCUAAUGCCUUUAUUUUAAGGAUGAAGAAAUAGCCUUUUGUUUUGUUUUUCAGAUUUAUUGAGAUAUAAUGUACAAAGUGGUAAGAUACUUAAAGUUACAACAUGAUUUUGAAACAACCUUGCCUUGUGAAAGGACUCCCCCAUCAUGUUAAUUACCCUGAUAAUCACUUCACAUAUUUACCUUUGUGUGUGUAUGUUUGAGAAUAUUUAAGUUCUACUCUCUCAGCAAAUUUCAAUUAUACAAAUACAGUGUUAUCAACUAUAGUCACCAUGUUAUACAGUAGAUCCUCAGACUUCAUUCAUCUUGUAACUAAAAGUUUACACAAUUUUGCUGACUUCUCCUAUUUCUCCUACCUCCAGUCCCUUCAACCAUUUUCUACACUCUGUUUCUUAGAGUUUUUUAAAGAUUUUACAUAUAAGUGAUACUAU